This 315-nucleotide unclassified non-coding RNA is filed under the name Hevea brasiliensis (rubber tree). The record is from RNAcentral. Lineage: Eukaryota; Viridiplantae; Streptophyta; Magnoliopsida; Malpighiales; Euphorbiaceae.
GUGGUUCACGCGCCGGAGUUACGCCUGAAGGAAGUCAGCGGUCUCGGGGAUUCGGCGAUCACGGAGAUCAAGCUGAUCGCCGCGACCGCGAGCCGGGUCGCGAAGGGCCAGAUCAGCAAAGAGAAGACCGUGCNNNUCGAGUACUGCCGCGCUGCCAUGGCCUUUGCCGACAAGGAGCAGUUCCGCAUCCUGUUUCUCGACAAGCGCAAUCAGUUGAUCGCGGAUGAAUUGCAACAGAUCGGAACUGUCGAUCACACGCCGGUCUAUCCGCGCGAAGUGGUCAAGCGCGCGCUGGAACUGUCGGCCACCGCGAUC